AAUCAAGUGGAGGACAAGUCUGGUGCCAGCACCCGCGGUAAUUCCAGCUCCACUAGCGUAUAUUAAAGUUGUUGCAGUUAAAAAGCUCGUAGUUGAACCUCUGUCUGGGGCUAGUUUUGGCUUUGGUCAGGCUAGUUCUAGGCAUCCGCCUACAAGACUUAGAGGGCAUUCAGUUGUUCACUAGGAGGAGUAGGCAUUUUACUUUGAAAAAAUUAGAGUGUUUAAGGCAGGCAAUCGCCCGCAUAUAUUAGCAUGGAAUAAUAGAAUAGGACACUUUUCCAUUUCGUUGGUUAUUGGAAUCGUGUAAUGAUUAAUAGGGACAGUUGUGGGCAUUUGUAUUUAAUUGUCAGAGGUGAAAUUCUUGGAUUUAUUAAAGACAAACUAACGCGAAAGCAUUUGCCAAGGAUGUUUUCAUUAAUCAAGAACGAAAGUUAGGGGAUCAAAGACGAUCAGAUACCGUCCUAGUCUUAACUAUAAACUAUUCCGACUCAAUGUUUGACUGGCUUAUAUAACCAGUUGAGCGUUGUAUGAGAAAUCAAAGUCUUUAGGUUCUGGGGGGAGUAUGGUUGCAAAGCUGAAACUUAAAGGAAUUGACGGAAGAGCACAACCAGGAGUGGAUUCUGCGGCUUAAUUUGACUCAACACGGGGAAACUUACCAGGUUAAAACAAUAGUGGGAUUGACAGUUUGAGAGCGCUUUCUUGAUUGGUUGGGUGGUGGUGCAUGGCCGUUCUUAGUUGGUGGAGUGAUUUGUUUGCUUAAUUGCGUUAACGAACGAGACCUUAACCUGCUUACUAGACUGGCGAUCAUCAAUCGUUAGCUCUUCUUAGAGGGACUUUGGUUGUUUUAACUCCAAGGAAGUUUGAGGCAAUAACAGGUCUGUGAUGCCCUUAGAUAUCCUGGGCCGCACGCGUCAUACAAUGACUAGUUCAGAAAGUUUUCUCCUGACCCGAAAGGGGAUGGGUAAUCUUGAUAAUACUAGUCGUGUUAGGGAUCGAUCUUUGCAAUUAUAGAUCUUGAACGAGGAAUUCCUAGUAAGUGCGGUUCAUCAGACCGUACUGAUUACGUCCCUGCUCUUUGUACACACCGCCCGUCGCUUCUACCGAGUGGGUGGUCCGGUGAGAUAAUUGAACUUCGCAGGUAACUGAGAGGAAAGAUUAUCAAACCUAUCCACCU
RNAcentral lists this ribosomal RNA (1174 nucleotides) under metagenome. Its description in RNAcentral is "SSU rRNA". It matches the Rfam family "Eukaryotic small subunit ribosomal RNA", at positions 542 to 1774 of the family's 1831-position model. The record is from RNAcentral.